Molecule: ribosomal RNA, 1123 nt
Filed under: unidentified archaeon
Lineage: Archaea
Description: bacterial SSU rRNA
Rfam family: Archaeal small subunit ribosomal RNA
Source: RNAcentral
CGGGGUGCAGCAGGCGCGAAAACUUUACAAUGCGGGCAACCGUGAUAAGGGAACCUCGAGUGCCUGUAAAUGCAGGCUGUUCAGAUGCCUAAAACACAUCUGGAGAAAGGGCCGGGCAAGACCGGUGCCAGCCGCCGCGGUAAUACCGGCGGCUCGAGUGGUGGCCACUUUUAUUGGGCUUAAAGCGUUCGUAGCUGGGUUGUUAAGUCUCUUGGGAAAUCUGGCGGCUUAACCGUCAGGCGUCUAAGGGAUACUGGCAAUCUUGGAACCGGGAGAGGUGAGGGGUACUUCGGGGGUAGGAGUGAAAUCCUGUAAUCCUCGAGGGACCACCUGUGGCGAAGGCGCCUCACCCAGAACGGCUUCGACAGUGAGGGACGAAAGCUGGGGGAGCAAACCGGAUUUAGAUACCCGGGUAGUCCCAGCCGUAAACUAUGCGCGUUAGGUGUAUCGGUGACCACGAGUUACCGAGGUGCCGAAGGGAAACCGUGAAACGUGCCGCCUGGGAAGUACGGUCGCAAGGCUGAAACUUAAAGGAAUUGGCGGGGGAGCACCACAACAGGUGGAGCCUGCGGUUUAAUUGGACUCAACGCCGGGAAGCUCACCGGAUAGGACAGCAGAAUGAUUGCCGGGCUGAAGACCCUGCAUGACUAGCUGAGAGGAGGUGCAUGGCCGUCGUCAGUUCGUACUGUGAAGCAUCCUGUUAAGUCAGGCAACGAGCAAGACCCACGCCCAACAGUUGCCAGCAUGGUCUCCGGACUGAUGGGGACACUGUUGGAACCGCCCUCUGCUAAAGAAGAAGGAAGGAAUGGGCAACGGUAGGUCAGCAUGCCCCGAAUUAUCCGGGCUACACGCGGGCUACAAUGGGCAGGACAAUGGGCAUCGACACCGUGAGGUGGAGGCAAUCUCCUAAACCUGUCCUUAGUUCGGAUUGUGGGCUGAAACUCGCCCACAUGAAGCUGGAAUCUGUAGUAAUCGCGUUUCAAAAUAACGCGGUGAAUUUGUCCCUGCUCCUUGCACACACCGCCCGUCAAACCACCCGAGUGGGGUUUGGAUGAGGUUACGGUCGUUGCCGUAGUCGAAUCUAGGUUCCGCAAGGGGGGUUAAGUCGUAACAAGGUAUCCGU